RNAcentral lists this long non-coding RNA (332 nucleotides) under Mytilus galloprovincialis (Mediterranean mussel). Lineage: Eukaryota; Metazoa; Mollusca; Bivalvia; Mytilida; Mytilidae. The record is from RNAcentral.
UCGCUGUUUUAAAUUGUGUAUUUCAUAUAUUUUUGUUUGUUUACUUCGAAAUUAUUUUAUCUGUAAGAAUCUGUAAAAUAACCCUUUUCGGACCUUACACUUAAGGCUCCGCCUACUUUUUAAAACUAGCACGGGCUUCAGAAACAGCGGGUAAUCAGUUUGAAAAGAUUUUUCGACAGCGAUGGAUGCAUCUUUACAUUGGUGACGAAAAAAAUGUUUUAGAUGUUCUGGAUAAGGACACAAGAAACUUCUAGUACAGAUUUCUGAUAUUUUGGAAGAUUGCUGCAAUGCCAAUCUUACGUACAAUUGAACUGCAAAGGGUAUGUUUUUUU